AUUGAACGCUGGCGGCAUGCCUUACACAUGCAAGUCGAACGGUAACGGGCCUUCGGGUGCCGACGAGUGGCGAACGGGUGAGUAAUACAUCGGAACGUGCCCGAUCGUGGGGGAUAACGAGGCGAAAGCUUUGCUAAUACCGCAUACGAUCUACGGAUGAAAGCAGGGGACCGCAAGGCCUUGCGCGGGCGGAGCGGCCGAUGGCAGAUUAGGUAGUUGGUGGGAUAAAAGCUUACCAAGCCGACGACCUGUAGCUGGUCUGAGAGGAUGAUCAGCCACACUGGGACUGAGACACGGCCCAGACUCCUACGGGAGGCAGCAGUGGGGAAUUUUGGACAAUGGGCGCAAGCCUGAUCCAGCCAUGCCGCGUGCAGGAUGAAGGCCUUCGGGUUGUAAACUGCUUUUGUACGGAACGAAAAGCCUUCUUUUAAGACAGGAGGGUCAUGACGGUACCGUAAGAAUAAGCACCGGCUAACUACGUG
This 482-nucleotide ribosomal RNA is filed under the name uncultured bacterium. RNAcentral's name for it is "partial 16S ribosomal RNA". It matches the Rfam family "Bacterial small subunit ribosomal RNA", at positions 30 to 507 of the family's 1533-position model. The record is from RNAcentral.